RNAcentral lists this ribosomal RNA (670 nucleotides) under Salmonella enterica subsp. enterica serovar Oslo. RNAcentral's name for it is "partial 23S ribosomal RNA". It matches the Rfam family "Bacterial large subunit ribosomal RNA", at positions 1292 to 1945 of the family's 2925-position model. Lineage: Bacteria; Pseudomonadati; Pseudomonadota; Gammaproteobacteria; Enterobacterales; Enterobacteriaceae. The record is from RNAcentral.
GAAUGCUGACAUAAGUAACGAUAAAGCGGGUGAAAAGCCCGCUCGCCGGAAGACCAAGGGUUCCUGUCCAACGUUAAUCGGGGCAGGGUGAGUCGACCCCUAAGGCGAGGCCGAAAGGCGUAGUCGAUGGGAAACGGGUUAAUAUUCCCGUACUUGGUGUUACUGCGAAGGGGGGACGGAGAAGGCUAUGUUGGCCGGGCGACGGUUGUCCCGGUUUAAGCGUGUAGGUGUGUGUUCCAGGUAAAUCCGGUUCACUUUAACACUGAGGCGUGACGACGAGGCACUACGGUGCUGAAGCAACAAAUGCCCUGCUUCCAGGAAAAGCCUCUAAGCAUCAGGUAACAUCAAAUCGUACCCCAAACCGACACAGGUGGUCAGGUAGAGAAUACCAAGGCGCUUGAGAGAACUCGGGUGAAGGAACUAGGCAAAAUGGUGCCGUAACUUCGGGAGAAGGCACGCUGACACGUAGGUGAAGUGAUUUACUCAUGGAGCUGAAGUCAGUCGAAGAUACCAGCUGGCUGCAACUGUUUAUUAAAAACACAGCACUGUGCAAACACGAAAGUGGACGUAUACGGUGUGACGCCUGCCCGGUGCCGGAAGGUUAAUUGAUGGGGUCAGCGCAAGCGAAGCUCCUGAUCGAAGCCCCGGUAAACGGCGGCCGUAACUAUAA